This is a long non-coding RNA of Raphanus sativus (radish), 1182 nucleotides long. RefSeq lists it as uncharacterized. The transcript is spliced from 2 exons. The record is from RefSeq and is a predicted model, not a curated record. Lineage: Eukaryota; Viridiplantae; Streptophyta; Magnoliopsida; Brassicales; Brassicaceae.
GCUCACUUAUUUAUUUAGUAACCAAAGAAGAAACCAUAGUAUUUUGUAGUCUUCCUCCAAAGUAAGACUCGAUAGCUUGAGACUUUGGUACAUCUGGUUUAAGUUGUAGAAGGGUCUCCUCUGAACCUCUCUUAAUGAUGAUACCGUCGUGGCCAGCAAGAAUAAAUGAAUGCAUGGAUGUGAUAAGUUGGAAUGAGUGUUGUACAGCAAUCAGGAUUGAUCUCUUUAUCUAAUUUAGGAAAGUACGUAGACCAAGUUCUGAAGCCGAUGAAAAGAGUGUUGGGGAGAGUUAAGUACUAUCUCUAGAGAUUGUAACUGUAUGGGUAACGAAAAAGGUUGAUCUCUAGUUUGGGUGAACAGCAUGUUUUCAAAGCGGCUAGGCUAGUACUCCUGUCACGACAAGGCAGGAUUUAGUGGGAAGGCAUGUCGACUGUCAAGGCAAGCUAACUAGAGGAUGAUCGUAUUUAGAAACAACUCGUAAUUAGUAACCAAAAUCGUUUCUAUAACGAUUAAAAAAUAUAUUUUUUGGCACAAGAAAAAUAUAUGAAUUGUGGUGAAUUAAAACGAUUAAUACUGUAUAUAUAUAGAAGACGAAGAUUACGCUGAUGACGACGCAGAAGAAGAGUAUACAUCCCCGGCGCAAUCAUCUCCACUACCACCAUUGUCGGAGAAUUUCGAGAAAGACCGACACAAUCACUUCACUUUCUUGGCGCAAGAGACCGUGUUCUUCGUCUCUCAAAUCUCUAUGCUCUGUUGUGGUUCCUCCAGUUCAGUAAUAGACUCUCCAUUGCUUCUCAACUGGUGUCUACCGGUACUUCCUCCAAAAAAAGGUUUCUUCAGAGGUUUCAUACUUUCAUUCAUACUAUCGCUACAGGAGUUUUAGCUUCUUGGAGGAACCUGGUUUGAGUCCACUAUGCCUUGAGCUAGUGUUACCAUUCUUGCAGCCUCAGGAAUCUAAUCUGAUUUGUUUAUUUACAUUUUCCCUCAAGAGUCACAUUCUCAAUAGCCAAGAACGAGUAAGCGGUGCUGAUGAUGCCACUUGGAUAGUAAAAAGGUAUCGGACAAAAACCUGAAGGGGGGGAACUAGUGAUUCCCCACUUGGUCUCUUGUUUGUAUUCAUUUAUCGUAUUCUUCCAGUUUUUCGGUCCAUGUUCAGAGUUAGUAAAAUCUAUACUUUCUUUA